AACUGCUCAAUGAGUCUUUCGUUUGUCCCACAGGCGAACCAGAUCCUCGCAGAAGAGCACCACUCCGUCUCUCGUCCUCGUCUCUUCUCCUGUUGAGAGUCUUCUUUCUCCUGUCUCCGGCUCCCCUCCCCAUCUCCUCCACCGGCGUUGCCGGCUGGAGUGGGAUAGGGAGGGGAGGUCGUUCUCCGCUUUUAUAUACCUGUAGGGUUCUAGUUGCCUUAGAGGCUGGUGGCGCUAUGCCGUUAUCUCCGAGCAAGUCGCCGGCGAGUCCGGGUCAGAUCCGGCGACCCCUUCCUAGAUCCACCCUUCCAGCGGCCUCCCUCGGUGCUCCCGUGGCGAAGCUAGUUCUUGGAGGCUGGAGUCCGGGUAUAUGCUCCGCUAAUAAUCCCGUUGCUCUCCCAGAUCUACAAGGUCUAAAAUCUCCCCCUUCUUCCUUUGGUUGCCACGGAGGCGGACGAAGAGAGGAGUCGGGUUCCUGUUGUGGCCUUUGUCGAUAUGGUUCCCCCCACUUUUUUCUUUUUCCCUGGUUUGCCUGCUCUCAUAUCCCCGCUUGGUUGCCGGCUGCGGAUGCUCUCUUUAUUCUCCGGCAACGUUGCGCUUUCCUCUUGGUUUCCUUCAGAUCGGUGCAGAAAUCGGUGGAGGGAUUGGCGGAGGAGAUACCAAUUCCCAGCUCAACCUCCCCUUCCGGAGGCCCACAUCGUGGUUCUUGGGAUGGCUUCGGAAGAUUCGUCUUACUCCAAUACAGGAGAUUGUCGGGCGUGAAGACUUCUUCGCCUUUGUUCGGGAUCUCGUCGGCCCGGGACUAGUUAUUUUCCGACGAGCGACGCGCGUCUAACUUGGCGGUUGGAAUUUCCGGCGAGUCUUCGUGGUGGAGUUUUGCUAGAAAAUUCUUUUUCGUUUAGCUUGAUGCGUGGCAGUCCAGGUGUCCCCUCCCUGCGUGGUUCCGGGACACGUGUGUGUAUGGGCUUUCUUGGUGUUUGCCCUUCUUCGGGGAUUGUAAUGUUCACUCUGUAAUACAAUUUGGCAGGCUGUUUACAAGAAAAAGAAAAGAUCCUCGCAA
Brachypodium distachyon (stiff brome) is the source of this 1060-nucleotide long non-coding RNA. RefSeq lists it as uncharacterized. The record is from RefSeq and is a predicted model, not a curated record. NCBI's taxonomy places the organism in Eukaryota, Viridiplantae, Streptophyta, Magnoliopsida, Poales, Poaceae. The transcript is spliced from 2 exons.